Molecule: ribosomal RNA, 497 nt
Filed under: uncultured bacterium
Lineage: Bacteria
Description: partial 16S ribosomal RNA
Rfam family: Bacterial small subunit ribosomal RNA
Source: RNAcentral
GAGGAAAGAGGGAGGCGUGCCUAAUACAUGCAAGUCGAGCGAACAGACGAGGAGCUUGCUCCUCUGUCGUUAGCGGCGGACGGGUGAGUAAAACGUGGAUAAACUCUAUAUAUGACUGGGAUAAAUUCGGGGAAAAGGAGCUAAUAUCGGAUAAUAUAUUGAACUGCAUGGUUCACUAGUGAAAGACGGUUUUGCUGUCUCUUUUAGAUGGAUCCGCGCCGCAUUAGCUAGUUGGUAAGGUAACGGCUUACCAAGGCGACGAUGCAUAGCCGACCUGAGAGGGUGAUCGGCCACACUGGAACUGAGACACGGUCCAGACUCCUACGGGAGGCAGCAGUAGGGAAUCUUCCGCAAUGGGCGAAAGCCUGACGGAGCAACGCCGCGUGAGUGAAGAAGGUCUUCGGAUCGUAAAACUCUGUUAUAAGGGAAGAACAAAUGUGUAAGUAACUAUGCACGUCUUGACGGUACCUAAUCAGAAAGCCACGGCUAACUACGUG